GCUAUGUCACUGCGCACAUGGGCUUAAGACCCUCAUCCUAGCUGCCUGGAAGUUAGUCUUCCACUAGCAGCCUUCAGAUGAAGAUGUAGAGCUCUCUGCUCUGCCUGCACCAUGCCUAUCUAGAUGUUGCCAUGCUCACAUCUUGAUAAUGGACUCAUUAUUCCCAAUUAAAUGUUGUCUUUUAUAAGACUUGCCUUGGUCAUGGUAUCUGUUUACAAUAAAACCCUAACUAAGACACUCUGCUAUAUUGUAUUGUUUGAAGAACUCACAUGGCCUAUCCAAAAGAUUAAAAGAUUAAAGAUUAAAAUCCUUUUUAUUAUGGGAGAAUAACCAACUUUCAUUUGAGAACAUCAUUUGGAGUAGGAGGAAUUAUUAUGACACAUUGAAAAAUACUGUCUAAAAUAUACCCAUACUUAACUUAUAUUUGUUGUCUACGAUUUAAAAUUAUUAUGUUGGGGAGGUCAGGGCACCAAGAUGGCAGCAUGCACAUCGUGUAUGGCUAUGGGCGGGUGCCUGCAGCAGGAACUGAAGAAUUCAUCUAUAAAUGGUUCUAAGAGCAGGACAACCAGAACUGGUGGCCUCCCACUUGCCAGUAUGAAGUGCGUGCCAUUGUCAAACCUGCACAUGGAUGUCCCAAAGGAUCUGACCAGACCUACGAUAACCACUUCCGAUGAGCCAGACACGUUGUACAAACGCCUGUCUAUUUUAGUGAAGGCCCAUGACAAGGCUGUAUCAGACAGUUAUGAGUACUUUGCCGUGCUCGCUGCUAAAGAACUUGGCAUAUCUAUUAAAGUACUGCCAAAAAAAAAAAAAAAAAAAAAAAAAAAAAAAAAAGCACUUCACUCUUCUCAAGUCGGUGCACAUCUUCAAGAAGCACAGAGUCCAGUAUGAGAUGAGGACGCUCUACAGAUAUUGGGUGUUAAGACAUUUGACAGAAUGCAUAGCCAAUGUCUACCUAGAAUAUAUCCAGUGAAACUUACCUGAAGGGGUGGCCAUGGAAGUAACAAAGACAGAUACAGCAGUUGCCAGAACACAUCAAGGAGCCGAUGUGGGAAACAAUUCCAGAGGAGAAAGAAGAAAGCAAGUCAAAGCCUCAGGGCCAGCGGCUGUGCAGGAUCUGAACUGAGCAUGUGUUCCGUGGAGAGCACCCAAGCCAAGGGGAGUCAGGGCCACCCGCCCUUGCUCAGUUGGGGCCUCAUGCCUGGGCAGCCAGGCGGAAGCAGGCUGGGUUUCAGGAAGAGCCACUGUAUCUGUUCUUUAUACCAGACUAUGCUUGUGUUCUGAUUUGAACAAAUACUGGCCAACUUCUGUAUAACCCGAAACAAAAGAACCAGACUU
Molecule: RNA transcript, 1338 nt
Organism: Mastomys coucha (southern multimammate mouse)
Lineage: Eukaryota; Metazoa; Chordata; Mammalia; Rodentia; Muridae
Gene name: 28S ribosomal protein S10, mitochondrial pseudogene
Exons: 1
Source: RefSeq, a predicted model, not a curated record